GAAGUCGUUACUCCAACCCUUGUGGAGGAGGACGCCGAAGGUGGGGCUAAUGACUGGGGUGAAGUCGUAACAAGGUAGCCGUACCGGAAGGUGCGGCUGGAUCACCUCCUAACAGGGAGACAACAAAAUGUAAAUAUUAAUUUUGUCACCUUAGGUCGAUCAGUACCUCAGAUUCUUAUUAUUUAAGAAUUUCAGUUUCUAAGUUUUUUCUAGGUCACACCCAUCACUUUUUCCUGGGCCAUUAGCUCAGGUGGUUAGAGCGCACCCCUGAUAAGGGUGAGGUCCCUGGUUCAAGUCCAGGAUGGCCCAUAUCUCUAUGUUGGGGGUACAGCUCAGUUGGUAGAGCGCCUGCUUUGCAAGCAGGAUGUCAGCGGUUCGAGUCCGCUUACCUCCACUGAAUACCACCUCUUACAUAUAGUUGAAGUGGGAAAUUGUUUUGAGUCGUGUCCUAAUUUGCUCUGAGCGAAUCUAGCUUCCUAUUUUAUCCAAGAAAUAAGAUGCUGGACUCAUUGAAUUUUUUUUCAUUGUUUUCAGAGAACCUCGACAACUGCAUAGAUUAUUUUUAAAGACAAUAAGCAUCUUUAAUGAUGCAGAUUUAUUAUUUGUGCGAAUGCAUUAAAUAACAAUUCUAUUAAGCUGAUGCUUCAAUUAUUGAAGUUAUUGGUCAAGCUACAAAGGGCUCACGGAGGAUACCUAGGCACACAGAGGCGAUGAA
This 715-nucleotide unclassified non-coding RNA is filed under the name uncultured cyanobacterium. Its description in RNAcentral is "partial contains 16S ribosomal RNA, 16S-23S ribosomal RNA intergenic spacer, and 23S ribosomal RNA". The stretch from base 1 to 112 matches the Rfam family "Bacterial small subunit ribosomal RNA", at positions 1423 to 1533 of the family's 1533-position model. The record is from RNAcentral. Lineage: Bacteria; Bacillati; Cyanobacteriota.